RNAcentral lists this ribosomal RNA (745 nucleotides) under uncultured Methanospirillaceae archaeon. RNAcentral's name for it is "bacterial SSU rRNA". It matches the Rfam family "Archaeal small subunit ribosomal RNA", at positions 85 to 824 of the family's 1478-position model. Lineage: Archaea; Methanobacteriati; Methanobacteriota; Methanomicrobia; Methanomicrobiales; Methanospirillaceae. The record is from RNAcentral.
ACGGCUCAGUAACACGUGGACAAUCUGCCCUGAAGAAGANAAAUAAUCCCGGGAAACUGGGGGUAAUUGCUUNUAUAAGUCCGGGGAAACUGGAAUGUUUUCCGGACGAAAAGAAUCCGUCGCUUCAGGAUGAGUCUGCCGCCCGAUUAGGUAGUUGUUGGGGUAAAAGCCCAAACAAGCCCCGUAAUCGGUACGGGUUGUGGGAGCAAGAGCCCCGGAGAUGGGAUUCUGAGACACGAAUCCAGGCCCUACGGGGCGCAGCAGGCGCGAAAACUUUACAAUGCGGGCAACCGUGAUAAGGAAACCCCGAGUGCCAGCACAGGCUGGCUGUCCGCCAGUGUAAACGACUGGCGAAGAAAGGGCCGGGCAAGACCGGUGCCAGCCGCCGCGGUAAUACCGGCGGCUCGAGUGGUGGCCGCUUUUACUGGGCUUAAAGGGUCCGUAGCUGGAUUCACAAGUCCCUUGAGAAAUCCAUCGGCUUAACUGAUGGGCGUUCAGGGGAUACUGUGGUUCUAGGGACCGGGAGAGGUGAGAGGUACUGCCGGGGUAGGAGUGAAAUCCUGUAAUCCCGGUGGGACGACCUAUGGCGAAGGCAUCUCACCAGAACGGCUCCGACAGUGAGGGACGAAAGCUGGGGGAGCAAACCGGAUUAGAUACCCGGGUAGUCCCAGCUGUAAACGAUGCGCGUUAGGUGUGUCAGUGACCACGUGUCACUGAGGUGCCGAAGGGAAACCGUGAAACGCGC